Molecule: ribosomal RNA, 497 nt
Filed under: uncultured bacterium
Lineage: Bacteria
Description: partial 16S ribosomal RNA
Rfam family: Bacterial small subunit ribosomal RNA
Source: RNAcentral
GAUGAACGCUGGCGGCGUGCCUAAUACAUGCAAGUCGAGCGAACAGACGAGGAGCUUGCUCCUCUGACGUUAGCGGCGGACGGGUGAGUAACACGUGGAUAACCUACCUAUAAGACUGGGAUAACUUCGGGAAACCGGAGCUAAUACCGGAUAAUAUAUUGAACCGCAUGGUUCAAUAGUGAAAGACGGUUUUGCUGUCACUUAUAGAUGGAUCCGCGCCGCAUUAGCUAGUUGGUAAGGUAACGGCUUACCAAGGCAACGAUGCGUAGCCGACCUGAGAGGGGGAUCGGCCACCCUGGAAGUGAGACACGGUCCAGACGCCUACGGGAGGCAGCAGUAGGGACUCUUCCGCAAUGGGCGAAAGCCUGACGGAGCAACGCCGCGUGAGGGAUGAAGGUCUUCGGAUCGUAAAACUCUGUUAUUAGGGAAGAACAAAUGUGUAAGUAACUAUGCACGUCUUGACGGUACCUAAUCAGAAAGCCACGGCUAACUACGUG